GACAGAGGGUGCAAACGUUGUCCGGAUUUAUUGGGCGUAAAGAGCGUGUAGGCGGCUUUACAGGUCCGUUGUGAAAACUCGAGGCUCAACCUCGAGACGCCGGUGGAAACCGUAAAGCUAGAGUCCGGAAGAGGAGAGUGGAAUUCCUGGUGUAGCGGUGAAAUGCGCAGAUAUCAGGAGGAACACCCGUGGCGAAAGCGGCUCUCUGGGACGGUACUGACGCUGAGACGCGAAAGCGUGGGGAGCAAACAGG
RNAcentral lists this ribosomal RNA (253 nucleotides) under uncultured bacterium. RNAcentral describes it as "partial 16S ribosomal RNA". It matches the Rfam family "Bacterial small subunit ribosomal RNA", at positions 524 to 776 of the family's 1533-position model. The record is from RNAcentral.